UUUAAGUGUGCAAGGGUUUCAGCCCUAAAACAAAAGG
This 37-nucleotide small RNA is filed under the name Salix viminalis (osier). The record is from RNAcentral. Lineage: Eukaryota; Viridiplantae; Streptophyta; Magnoliopsida; Malpighiales; Salicaceae.